AGCUCGCGAGAGUAAGCUAAUCUCUUAAAGCCGUUCUCAGUUCGGACUGUAGGCUGCAACUCGCCUACACGAAGUCGGAAUCGCUAGUAAUCGCGGAUCAGCAUGCCGCGGUGAAUACGUUCCCGGGCCUUGUACACACCGCCCGUCACACCAUGGGAGUUGGGAAUACCCGAAGCCUGUGAGCUAACGUUAAGAAGCAGCAGUCGAAGGUAGAAUCAAUGAUUGGGGUGAAGUCGUAACAAGGUAUC
Molecule: ribosomal RNA, 248 nt
Filed under: uncultured bacterium
Lineage: Bacteria
Description: partial 16S ribosomal RNA
Rfam family: Bacterial small subunit ribosomal RNA
Source: RNAcentral